CAGAGAAUAGUUUAAAAAGAAUAUUAGUUUUGGGGACUAAAGGUAAAAGCAACUUUUUUCUCUGA
RNAcentral lists this transfer RNA (65 nucleotides) under Trapezia garthi. Its description in RNAcentral is "tRNA-Pro". The record is from RNAcentral. Lineage: Eukaryota; Metazoa; Arthropoda; Malacostraca; Decapoda; Trapeziidae.